RNAcentral lists this long non-coding RNA (484 nucleotides) under Carica papaya (papaya). Its description in RNAcentral is "long non-coding RNA (CPAP_LNC016537)". The record is from RNAcentral. Lineage: Eukaryota; Viridiplantae; Streptophyta; Magnoliopsida; Brassicales; Caricaceae.
CACAAGAAAUUCUACUUUCUCAUAAGAAAUUGAAAAACUUUUCCUUAACCACGGACAAAAAUUUAUUUUGAAACAUUAAAUCAAUUUACUCUCACUUUCAAUAAAAUAAAUUAUGACACUUUUACCGACAAACGAAAGCAAAUCUUGUUACCUGAUGUCGCUUCAAAAUAAAGAAUGACAACCUUUCUCACAUAAGAUGAAUAUCCCAAUAACAAAAGCAUUCAUGUUUUGUCUACGUUAAUUUGUCAACUCUAUGUGAGAAAACUUGACAACUCUUCAAGAGAAAGUGUCAUCAAAGUAACUUUUUCUUUCAAACUAAUGUAUCGGAACAUAUUUACUUACUUGCUUAUUUUUCAAAUCUGGACACCGAAAAAAAUUAAUUGAAAACGAAAGAAGCAAGAAACUUAAAAUGAUAACAAAAGAAAUAUUUAUUUGCAGCAAGAAAAUCUAACCACAUUUUAUUUUAAGUUCAAACUACCGGGUG